RNAcentral lists this ribosomal RNA (497 nucleotides) under uncultured bacterium. RNAcentral's name for it is "partial 16S ribosomal RNA". It matches the Rfam family "Bacterial small subunit ribosomal RNA", at positions 28 to 507 of the family's 1533-position model. The record is from RNAcentral.
GAUGAACGCUGGCGGCGUGCCUAAUACAUGCAAGUCGAGCGAACAGACGAGGAGCUUGCUCCUCUGACGUUAGCGGCGGACGGGUGAGUAACACGUGGAUAACCUACCUAUAAGACUGGGAUAACUUCGGGAAACCGGAGCUAAUACCGGAUAAUAUAUUGAACCGCAUGGUUCAAUAGUGAAAGACGGUUUUGCUGUCACUUAUAGAUGGAUCCGCGCCGCAUUAGCUAGUUGGUAAGGUAAAGGCUUACCAAGGCAACGAUGCGUAGCCGCCCUGAGAUGGUGAUCGGCCACCCUGGAACUAGGACACGCUCCAGACUACUACGGGAGGCAGCAGUAGGGAAUUUUCCGCCAUGGGCGAAAGCCUGCCGGAGCCACGCCGCGUGCGUGAUGAAGGUCUUCGGAUCGUAAAACUCUGUUAUUAGGGACGAACAAAUGUGUAAGUACCUAUGCACGUCUUGACGGUACCUAAUCAGAAAGCCACGGCUAACUACGUG